This 368-nucleotide ribosomal RNA is filed under the name uncultured bacterium. RNAcentral's name for it is "bacterial SSU rRNA". It matches the Rfam family "Bacterial small subunit ribosomal RNA", at positions 30 to 396 of the family's 1533-position model. The record is from RNAcentral.
AUUGAACGCUGGCGGCAUGCCUUACACAUGCAAGUCGAACGGCAGCACGGGAGCUUGCUCCUGGUGGCGAGUGGCGAACGGGUGAGUAAUACAUCGGAACGUACCCUGAAGUGGGGGAUAACGUAGCGAAAGUUACGCUAAUACCGCAUAUUCUGUGAGCAGGAAAGAGGGGGAUCGCAAGACCUCUUGCUUUAGGAGCGGCCGAUGUCGGAUUAGCUAGUUGGUGAGGUAAAGGCUCACCAAGGCGACGAUCCGUAGCGGGUCUGAGAGGAUGAUCCGCCACACUGGGACUGAGACACGGCCCAGACUCCUACGGGAGGCAGCAGUGGGGAAUUUUGGACAAUGGGCGCAAGCCUGAUCCAGCCAUG